Pelobates cultripes (western spadefoot toad) is the source of this 221-nucleotide non-coding RNA. NCBI's taxonomy places the organism in Eukaryota, Metazoa, Chordata, Amphibia, Anura, Pelobatidae. The record is from the annotation of a GenBank genome assembly.
UGAUAUGUAACCUAUGGCUGUUAGGGAUAUAGUAAUAAGCGGUGCCUCAGCAUUUCUAUACGGCUCUAUCUUGAGCCGGAUACAUAGUCUUAGGUAAUAAGUCCUAUGGGAUCACAAUGUAAGGGUUCGAUUCCGGAGAGGGAGCCUGAGAAACGGCUACCACAUCCAAGGAAGGCAGCAGGUGUGCAAAUUACCCACUCCCGACGCGGGGAGGUAGUGAA